RNAcentral lists this long non-coding RNA (726 nucleotides) under Rattus norvegicus (Norway rat). Its description in RNAcentral is "long non-coding RNA NONRATT019960". Lineage: Eukaryota; Metazoa; Chordata; Mammalia; Rodentia; Muridae. The record is from RNAcentral.
GAACAGCCUGGUCUUUGAAGCACUAAGCUGUACAGCCACAUUCCGCUGAGGAGCUAGAGGGCAGCCAGGUGUUACAGCAUCGUUGCCCACCCUGCUCUGAGCUGUAUAGCUGGGGACCCGUGACUGUUGCAUCCAGCUAACCAUGGAACAGUUUGGCUCCAGCCACCAGCCCCUUAGGUGAGGACUCAGUCAAGGGCCCACUGCCCAUUCCACAUCAUGGAGGCCGAGAGGACUCUUCCAGCCAGGGGAGCCGCCCUUUGAAAACGGUGGUCCAGUCCUGCUGGUUCUCCCUACCAGCCACCUUCAAGAGAGGCCCCUAUUCCUGCUGGCCCACGGAUGGGGAGGUGGGCCCUGGACGUCGCCUUUGUGUGGAAGGCAGCGCUGACCCUGGGCCUGGUUCUUCUAUAUUACUGCUUCUCCAUAGGCAUCACGUUCUACAACAAAUGGCUCACAAAGAGCUUCCACUUUCCCCUCUUCAUGACCAUGCUGCACCUGGCCGUGAUCUUCCUCUUCUCCGCCCUGUCCAGGGCACUGGUCCAGUGCUCCAGUCACAGGGCCCGGGUGGUGCUCAGCUGGACUGACUACCUCAGAAGAGUGGCCCCCACAGCACUGGCAACAGCACUUGACGUGGGCCUGUCCAACUGGAGCUUCCUCUACAUCACUGUGUCUCUGUACACAAUGACCAAAUCCUCUGCUGUGCUCUUUAUCCUGAUCUUCUCUCUGAUC